Molecule: long non-coding RNA, 2973 nt
Filed under: Homo sapiens (human)
Lineage: Eukaryota; Metazoa; Chordata; Mammalia; Primates; Hominidae
Description: HSALNT0307603
Source: RNAcentral
UCUUACUGUCUUAAAAACUCAGAUUCUUUCAUUGAAAUGGCAUUAAGUAAACUUAAGACAAUGCUACAUGGAUUAGAGACUACCUAUAGUGCACCCAACUUGCAGGAUGUCAUUUAGUAUGCGUGUAUUCUUAACCCAACUUGCAGCCUAAUGGCUUUUUAAAGUCAAAACUUCCAUAGUCCUUUUGCAGUAUGAUUUUUGAGGCAUAUGGAGACAGAAUCUGAGCCAAUAUAUUUUAUUCCAAAUGAGGCUCUUUGAUUUCUCACAUGCUUUUGAAAUGUGAUGUUUGUCUACCCUGGAAAACUCUGCCGUUUCAACUCUCUGGAAAGCUAGGAAAGGUUUUGAAUAAUUGUAUCAUGGGUAGUUUUUGGAUUCCACUACUUGUGGGCUACUUCUGCUGGAUAAAUGUGUUGCCUACAUACAGUAUUCUCUUAACCCUGCUUCUCAAAAUCCUAUAUUUUCUGUUGUCAAGUCAAGAAUUACAAAGCCACACUUUGGCAUGGAGAAUACUACUCUACAGUUACUCAUCCUUAAUGACCUGUAGUACAGAAAAGUGAAAACAUUGUGGAGGAGAUAAAUUACCAAAAUAGAAGAUAAGCUGAAAAGGCAAUGGAAAAUAUAUCAUACAUAUCAAAGUUGCUCAUUUAUGCUAUUUUGCCAUAACAAUGCAUACAACUGAAGCACUUCCCUUCUCCAUUGGAGUUUUGUCUCUAGAGGUAUUAAAUAUUAAUCUUAUAAAGAAAAGAAAGCAAAAAAAAAAAACCCUGAACACAUGUUAAUAGGUUAGGGUUUUAAGAGCAAAUCACAAAAGCAGAAUAAGUACUUGGAGGAAAAAAACAGGAAGAGAGAGAAAGAGGGAGAGAGAGAGAGAGGUGGGGUAAAUUGUGGACCCUCCUUUUAAAGAAACAAAAUUUUCCACAGAGUUGCAUUAAUACUUAAAUUGGACUAACUCCAUGUGAAUCCUCGUAAGAAAUACUAUUUCCUUUCAAUUAACUCAUCUAUCCUACAAUUACAUGUCAUGAAAUCUAAAGGCAAAUAUGUUUACCCAGUAAGGGAAUAACAUUCGAGGCAAAAGUGAUGUCACAAACAGAUGGGAAUUCCAAGUAAUACUGAGUCAUGGUUCUAGGGGAAUAAAACAAUUACUUUACAGCUCAGUGCAAUGUAGUAUUUAAAGAAAAGGUAGGCAUUUUGAUUCCCAAGUAAACUAAAGAGAAGAAAACUGAGGCUUAAAGAGGGCCUGUUUGCGUGUUCCCAACUGCUAUGUGGCCAAGAAUAAGUAAGUUUAUGUAACGUUCCAAAGAAACUGCUCAAAACCGUGGCUCAUUUUAACUAAGAUAUGAAUAGAAGGCAGAAAUGAAUUCACAAACACUUCUUUCACAUGCACUGCAAAAUAUAACUUUUUACUCCUCCAGGCCAAAAUGGUCUUAACCAUUGAAGUAAUUAUAGCUCACAACUAUAAUUUAAAGUUAGAUCUGGUUGAUUCUAAAUUCACACAGGAAAAUAAUUCACUCAUCUUACUGGAACAUUGACGUAAAUAACUUUAUAAAACCCAUACAGUUUCAGCAAUCCUAGAAAGUGUUGUGAAUCCAAAUAGAAACAGUUGAUAAAUUAAUAAGACAGUUGAUAAAAUAAUUUAGUAAGACAACAAUAAUUGUCUACCAUUUAUUGGUUAAAGUAUUAUGCUUGACACUUUAUAAAUAUUACCUAUUUAAUCGUUACAGCAAUCUUUAAUAUUGGUAUCCUUAUUUACAAAGAAAAUGAGUGCAGAAAGGACAAGUAGUUUUCGUGAAACCACUUGGAAGUGGAGGAGAAGGGUUUUGAACUCCCAUCAUCUCAAGCUCAUGCUUUGCCAUCUCACCACAGUGAAAUGAUGGAAAACUCAAGUCUGCAAACCUUAAAUUUUCAAUCAAAGGGAGGAAACCUUGGGCAAAUGAAGAGGUCAUGGAUAUGAUAUGAAAAUAUUUUAUGAUUUUGCAUGUGAGAAGCUACUGCAUAGAUGAAUUCAACUGCAGGAUCCCUUUUAAAAAAUAUGUAUCUUCAAGAUUGAGUGUGAGCCUUCACAAACUCCUCCUUGUAUCUUAAGUCUGCUGGAGUACUGGCCUGACUCCACUCACUCACUGUGUACUUCGUUUGAAACUAACAAACAAUACAGUGACUGUCAGUAGAUGUUGCCUCCUCAGUCUACAGAGCCAACAAAAAUUAUGGAAAAUGUCAUCAGAUUUCCAUGACAACAUCACGCUGUAUAAUCAACAUGGUUCGAACUAGUCACAUCUUUGCACAACUGGACACAUCAAAAUAAUUGUAUUAUGUCAUCAGUGAUGCCACCAGACAGAGCACCAGCUCCCUUCCUACACUGGAUAGCAGACGUUCAAAUAACGCAAUGUACUGAAGAACUAAUACAGUUUAGACACCAGAGGUCUCACAAGUUAAACCCUCUAUAUAAUACAGAGCCCUCCUGAGAAUCAACUUAAGGUGAAAUGUUUUAAAGAAGAGAUAAUGGUGGUGGUGUGGUGGUACAUGUUGAGCAACCAGCUCUCUGGAGCAACUGAAAAAUACUUCUAAUCUGGCAAAUUCAGCGAGAAGACUGAGUUCCUUAAUUUCUGUCAGCACCAGUGAAAAACUGUCCUAAACUGACCCUGGCUUACAGAUGUACCACUGGAUCUUGGACUAAAUGGUAAUGGUAAUCAUUCUGAGCUUCCAUUAAAAUUCUAAGCCUUCUUCCAUUUUAUUUCUUAUUAACAGCUAUUAUUGUUGUUGUUGUUGUUGUUGUUGUUGUUGUUGUUGUUAUUAUAGCAAAGAAGAACAGCAGAAUGGUUGGUGGAGAUUCCUAUGCUUUCGACCCAUGGCGGGGUCACUAAGUCAGGUGAAUCACCUCCCACCCCUAAAGAUUCCCACCCAGUUAUGCCUUCUAAUGUGCUGUUCACAGUUUAUCAACUGAUUCUGAAAUUCUGAGACUUAACAGUUUUAAACUGA